This 75-nucleotide transfer RNA is filed under the name Nocardia cyriacigeorgica. RNAcentral's name for it is "tRNA-Arg(cct)". It matches the Rfam family "tRNA". Rfam says of the family: Transfer RNA (tRNA) molecules are approximately 80 nucleotides in length. Their secondary structure includes four short double-helical elements and three loops (D, anti-codon, and T loops). The record is from RNAcentral. Lineage: Bacteria; Bacillati; Actinomycetota; Actinomycetes; Mycobacteriales; Nocardiaceae.
GCCCUCGUAGCUCAGGGGAUAGAGCACCGCUCUCCUAAAGCGGGUGUCGCAGGUUCGAAUCCUGCCGAGGGCACC